Long non-coding RNA from Ochotona curzoniae (black-lipped pika), 278 nucleotides. RefSeq lists it as uncharacterized. Lineage: Eukaryota; Metazoa; Chordata; Mammalia; Lagomorpha; Ochotonidae. The transcript has 3 exons. The record is from RefSeq and is a predicted model, not a curated record.
AAGCUGUGAGCCAUUCGGGAGGGAUGUGAAAAUGAGCGCCCGCCGAGUCUCCCAGCAGAAUGAUCCCUCUGGGCUGUGAACCUAGGCAGGAUGGUCGGAGUUGCAGGAGAGAGGAAUGAAGCCUUGCCCAGUGCUUCAUCCAUCCCCUGGAAGAACCAGCUGGAGCUUCGGCAAGCAGAGUGGGCUCUCUUCACUUCGCAGCCUUGAGCGAAGUCUGAAAAUCUUACCCUCACCAUAUGGUUUGACCACACAGGUGGAGACUGAACUGUCCAGGCAUU